GGUAUAGCUCAGUGUUAGAGCCUAUGUUUAGGAUACUAAAGGCCCUGAGUUCAAUCCCCAGCACCA
RNAcentral lists this transfer RNA (66 nucleotides) under Marmota monax (woodchuck). Its description in RNAcentral is "tRNA.Pro". The record is from RNAcentral. Lineage: Eukaryota; Metazoa; Chordata; Mammalia; Rodentia; Sciuridae.